CAGAUUGAACGCUAGCGGGAUGCUUUACACAUGCAAGUCGAACGGCAGCGCGGACUUCGGUCUGGCGGCGAGUGGCGAACGGGUGAGUAAUAUAUCGGAACGUGCCCAGUAGCGGGGGAUAACUACGCGAAAGCGUGGCUAAUACCGCAUACGCCCGUACGGGGGAAAGGGGGGAUCGCAAGACCUCUCACUAUUGGAGCGGCCGAUAUCAGAUUAGCUAGUUGG
Molecule: ribosomal RNA, 225 nt
Filed under: uncultured soil bacterium
Lineage: Bacteria
Description: partial 16S ribosomal RNA
Rfam family: Bacterial small subunit ribosomal RNA
Source: RNAcentral